CCAAUAGCGUAUAUUAAAGUUGUUGCAGUUAAAAAGCUCGUAGUUGAAUUUCGGGGUUCAUCCGUUGGUCGGGCUUUUUUGGUCUGUACUGGCGUGAUGGAUUCCUACCUUCUGAAUAACCAGCAUGUCAUUAAUUUGGUGCGCUGGGGAAGCAGGACUGUUACCUUGAAAAAAUUAGAGUGCUUAAAGCAGGCUAUCGCCUGAAUACAUUAGCAUGUAAUAAUGAAAUAGGACGGCAUGGUUCUAUUUUGUUGGUUUCUAGGAUCACCGUAAUGAUUAAUAGGGAUAGUUGGGGGCAUUAGUAUUCAAUUGUCAGAGGUGAAAUUCUUGGAUUUAUUGAAGACUAACUUCUGCGAAAGCAUUUGCCAAGGAUGUUUUCAUUAAUCAAGAACGAAAGUUAGGGGAUCGAAGACGAUCAGAUACCGUCGUAGUCUUAACCAUAAACUAUGCCGACUAGGGAUCGGACGAUGUUAAUUUUUUAAUGACUCGUUCGGCGCCUUACG
RNAcentral lists this ribosomal RNA (503 nucleotides) under uncultured Glomeromycotina. RNAcentral's name for it is "partial small subunit ribosomal RNA". It matches the Rfam family "Eukaryotic small subunit ribosomal RNA", at positions 591 to 1092 of the family's 1831-position model. Lineage: Eukaryota; Fungi; Glomeromycota. The record is from RNAcentral.